Molecule: ribosomal RNA, 253 nt
Filed under: uncultured bacterium
Lineage: Bacteria
Description: partial 16S ribosomal RNA
Rfam family: Bacterial small subunit ribosomal RNA
Source: RNAcentral
UACAGAGGGGGCAAGCGUUGUUCGGAAUUACUGGGCGUAAAGGGCGCGUAGGCGGCCUGCUAAGUCGAACGUGAAAUCCCUGGGCUCAACCCAGGAACUGCGUCCGAUACUGGUUGGCUUGAAUCCGGGAGAGGGAUGUGGAAUUCCAGGUGUAGCGGUGAAAUGCGUAGAUAUCUGGAGGAACACCGGUGGCGAAGGCGACAUCCUGGACCGGUAUCGACGCUGAGGCGCGAAAGCCAGGGGAGCAAACGGG